GACGAACGCUGGCGGCGUGCCUAAUACAUGCAAGUCGAACGCUUCUUUCCUCCCGAGUGCUUGCACUCCAUUGGAAAGAGGAGUGGCGGACGGGUGAGUAACACGCGGGUAACCUACCCAUCAGAGGGGGAUAACACUUGGAAACAGGUGCUAAUACCGCAUAACAGUUUAUGCCGCAUGGCAUAAGAGUGAAAGGCGCUUUCGGGUGUCGCUGAUGGAUGGACCCGCGGUGCAUUAGCUAGUUGGUGAGGUAACGGCUCACCAAGGCCACGAUGCAUAGACGACCUGAGAUGGUGAUCCGCCACACUGGGACUGAGACGCGGACCAGACUCCUAGGGGAGGCAGCAGUAGGGAAUCGUCAGCAAUGGACGAAAGUCUGACCCAGCAACGCCGCGUGAGUGAAGAAGUUUGUCGGAUCGUAAACCUCUGUUAGAGAAGAACAAGGACGUUAGUAACUGAACGUCCCCUGACGGUAUCUAACCAGAAAGCCACGGCUAACUACGUG
This 505-nucleotide ribosomal RNA is filed under the name uncultured bacterium. RNAcentral describes it as "partial 16S ribosomal RNA". It matches the Rfam family "Bacterial small subunit ribosomal RNA", at positions 28 to 507 of the family's 1533-position model. The record is from RNAcentral.